Molecule: ribosomal RNA, 217 nt
Filed under: uncultured Lactobacillus sp.
Lineage: Bacteria; Bacillati; Bacillota; Bacilli; Lactobacillales; Lactobacillaceae
Description: partial 16S ribosomal RNA
Rfam family: Bacterial small subunit ribosomal RNA
Source: RNAcentral
UAACACCUGGAAACAGAUGCUAAUACCGGAUAACAACAGAUGAUGCCUAUCAACUGUUUAAAAGAUGGUUCUGCUAUCACUCUUGGAUGGACCUGCGGUGCAUUAGCUAGUUGGUAGGGUAACGGCCUACCAAGGCGAUGAUGCAUAGCCGAGUUGAGAGACUGAUCGGCCACAUUGGGACUGAGACACGGCCCAAACUCCUACGGGAGGCAGCAGU